This 449-nucleotide ribosomal RNA is filed under the name uncultured bacterium. RNAcentral's name for it is "partial 16S ribosomal RNA". It matches the Rfam family "Bacterial small subunit ribosomal RNA", at positions 29 to 523 of the family's 1533-position model. The record is from RNAcentral.
AACGAACGCUGGCGGCGUGCCUAACACAUGCAAGUCGAACGAGAUCUUCGGGUCUAGUGGCGCACGGGUGCGUAACGCGUGGGAAUCUGCCCUUUGGUUCGGAAUAACAGUUGGAAACGACUGCUAAUACCGGAUGAUGACGAAAGUCCAAAGAUUUAUCGCCAGAGGAUGAGCCCGCGUGGGAUUAGCUAGUUGGUGUGGUAAAGGCGCACCAAGGCGACGAUCCUUAGCUGGUCUGAGAGGAUGAUCAGCCACACUGGGACUGAGACACGGCCCAGACUCCUACGGGAGGCAGCAGUGGGGAAUAUUGGACAAUGGGCGAAAGCCUGAUCCAGCAAUGCCGCGUGAGUGAUGAAGGCCUUAGGGUUGUAAAGCUCUUUUACCCGGGAUGAUAAUGACAGUACCGGGAGAAUAAGCUCCGGCUAACUCCGUGCCAGCCGCCGCUGUAA